This is a long non-coding RNA of Pan troglodytes (chimpanzee), 529 nucleotides long. RefSeq lists it as uncharacterized. Lineage: Eukaryota; Metazoa; Chordata; Mammalia; Primates; Hominidae. The transcript has 4 exons. The record is from RefSeq and is a predicted model, not a curated record.
CAUACUGGUUUCUGUUGUUCUCAGAGACACACUGAGACCUUUCACAUCUCACUGUCACUUCUUGGAAGGGCUCUCUACCUCGUCUGCCUGCUGAGCAACCUCUUGGGGAGACGCAGGCCCUCUUGAGUCACUGAACUUGAGCUAUUUGGUGUUGAUGUUGGAAUUUCUGAUGAAUCUGCAGUCAGCAUUUUGCAUGAACUGUGUGUGGAUUCAUUGCCUACAUUGGAUGAUGAAGACUUGAGUGUUGCUACUAAGGCCCUGGUGUGUGAUGUUCCCCAUCCUGUGUCCAAGUGUUCUCAUUGUUCAGUUCCCACCUAUAAGUGAGAACAUGUGGUGUUUGGUUUUCUGUCCUUGCAACAGUUUGCUCAGAAUGAUGGUUUCCAGCUUCAUCCGUGUCCCUACAAAGGACAUGAACUCAUCAGUUUUUAUGCUGCAUAGUAUUCCAUGGUGUGUAAGUGCCACAUUUUCUUAAUCCAGUCUAUCGUUGAUGGGCAUAUGGGUUGGUUCCAAGCCUUUGCUAUUGUGAAUA